AAUAAUAGCUUAGGAUAUGUUUAAGAAUCACAGAUUAGCAUAGAUAGUAAAUUAAGUACGAAAACGAAUCACUUUCCUUAUCAAUAGUCCGGUUCACAUUGAUGUUUAUACUGGUAGAUUUCUCAAGUAAUAGCUCCAAAUGAUUAUCCUCCAUCAAAUCCAAUUUGUCGUCUAGUCCUGGUUCACGUAGCAGCAAUAGAUUUUUCCGAUUUACUCCAAUUUUCACCGAGUUUUGUAGAAAAACUAGUAGAUUAUAAAUUUUUGCAACCGAUUCUUAGUUUAACAUAAACAAACUUUGACAGUUCGUAAAUACAAGAGAGUGUGGGAGAGAAUUUCGCUCUCGCAUUCAAGGUCACCUGUCGGAAAGUGAAUGCGUUUGGUUUCGAAUAGAUGAAUGGGUUAGAAUAGGGUAGCAUAGAUUUAGGCGCUGUAGAAUCAGCUUCAUUUACUUUGGAUAGUUUAGGGCGCGAUUCGAUAACCAUGUAUGCAUGUGUGUAUGAAUGAGUGGUGAGUAAAUAAAUUCGUUGGUCGAAGAUGUUUUCCAGUAGUAACUGGAGUUAUGAUCAAAUACGUUCGAAUAGUGUUUUCCGUAAGUAUACGGAGUUAUCAAUACGGUAUUUUUUCCGUUGGAGUACGGAGUAAUAAGUAUAGAUUUGAAUGAAAGGGACAUGAAUGAGAAUAAGGAAUGAUAGAUUUGAAUGGAAGUAAAUAAGAGCUGAUCUUACUGCGUAUUUUUUAAAGUUAUUUUGAGAAAGUAAUUACAAUACAUGAAUGAAUUUCCAGUAGAGUAUAAUAGUAAAAAUAUGUUUUUUGAGCUCUUUGAAAAAUAUAAUAAUAAUUAAUUGAAUAACAUAUAUAUAAAAUUGAAUUUUAGUAACCGAAUUAAAUUAUAUUGAUUGAAAAGUUAUGUAAAUUAUAAACCUAAUAAAAAUUUUGAAAUAAAAAUUUCAAAAUUUUUAUUAAUUUAGCAUGGUCGAAUGUAACGUUUACUUUACAACCAUUUACCCUUUGACUAUUAUAAAUCAAUCGCCUAUCGUUAUACUGCAAAUGGCUUAAGCUACUCGAAACCCUACCAACAUUAUCCAAUCCAAAUCUGCUCGAAUGUGGAACUUGAAUGUGUAGGCGAGAGUAACGAAAUUAUAUUAAAUUUCCACGACGCAAAAUGAUGCAAUUGGUUCGCUCAAGGACACUGCGGAUAACGAUUAGGUUUCGUUAAUUUACGGCGCAAAUACAUUUGAAUGUCUACUCUAAAGUCUUGGGACUACAAAAGAGUAGCCAUCUUAUUCAAAUCACUUUAGUUGGAGUGCUUGAAUAGCUCGGAUCGUUUUUUAAGAAAAGUGAAUUUUUCCAAAUAUUUCAACACGUGUUCAAUUGGUUUAAUAGUUAAAGUUGAACUAGCAAAGAAAAGUAAGUGCCAUCAAAACGAAUAGUAGCAUUUGUAAUUAAAUUAAUCUUAAACGCAUUUAGGGAUUAAUUGAAGACUAGAAUUAAUAAAAAGCCUAGCAUAUUUUGUGGAAUGAAAUAAGCAACGGUUAAGAAAAGCCCAGAUUCCCAUUAACGUGGGAGCUGGUGCUGGAUCGGAAAGUCCUCCGAACUCGGAUCGGAUUGUAAAUUCCAGCAGUUCGCGCUUAGUAAGUGGUGAAUUCGUGGUGUUUUAUGCAACCAGCAAUACAACCGCACUCCAAGGACACGGAAACGCUUCCAAUCCGUGAGCUGUGAGCAACCACCCACCACCCGUCGGAAAAUCUGUUCUACCGAAAUCCGAUUAGGCGCCGAACGAUUCUAACCUCUCUUCGUCAAGCCGAGAGAGUGAGCGAGUCGCGUACGCGCCACGCGCGAGGGAGAGUAUGUGUGGAGCGAGAACAUAACCACACAAAUAGGUGCGGAAUUCGUCGCCCCGUCUCGUCGUCGAGGAGCUGUGUA
Long non-coding RNA from Aedes albopictus (Asian tiger mosquito), 1923 nucleotides. RefSeq lists it as uncharacterized. Lineage: Eukaryota; Metazoa; Arthropoda; Insecta; Diptera; Culicidae. The record is from RefSeq and is a predicted model, not a curated record. The transcript has 2 exons.